RNAcentral lists this long non-coding RNA (1150 nucleotides) under Olea europaea subsp. europaea. Lineage: Eukaryota; Viridiplantae; Streptophyta; Magnoliopsida; Lamiales; Oleaceae. The record is from RNAcentral.
AAACAGUUUAGCUUCAAAAAUGGAUUCUGGAAAAGACUUAGAAUCAAAUCUUAGUGACUUUAGCAUUUUGUCAAGAGUCUUUCCCAUAACGAUAAGAAAUUCGAGGAUGAAGAUCUGGCUAUGAUUCUUCUAAAUUCACUACUUGAAUCUUAUAAAAAUAUCUGAAAUGCUAUAAAAUAUUCAAGAGAUGUUUUAACAUAAAUGAUUGUAACAAAUGCCCUAAGAUCUAGGGAGUUGGAGGUUAAGAAGGAAUCAAGAACUAAUUCCAAGGAGAAGAACCUGUUUGUGAGAGGGAGAACUGAAAAAAGAGAAAAUCAUUCAUUGAAUAGGUGGUUCAAAUCAAAAUCCAAAGCUAGGUCCAACUCAAAAGAUAAAAGCAACAAAAAAUGCUAUCACUAUGGAAAACUUGGACACUUCAAAAGGGAUUGCUUUGAAUUAAAGAAGAAGCUAAAAGAACCUAAUUACAGUUAAUGUUGUUGUAAGUCUAGAACUAGACUGCCUUCUUGUUAUGACCGUGUCUAACGAUGAAACAGACACUGACUGGAUACUUGACUGUGGAUGUACCUUUCAUAUGUAUCCAAAUAAAACUUGGUUUCAUAACUACAAGGAGAUAGAACCUAGGAAAGUAUAUAUGGGUGAUAAUAAUUCACAAAAUGUUCUUGGAAUUGGUGACAUUACAAUCAAAAUGUACGAUGGUAUUGUUAGACAGAUUAAAAAUGUAAGACAUGUCCCAAAUCUAAAAGGAAAUCUCAUUUCACUAGGAAUUCUCAAAGAUGAGGGACAUACUUUUCAAUCUGAAAAUAAUACUUUGAAGAUUCUCAAAGGAUCUCUUGUAGUUAUGAAGGGACCAAAAAAAAAUUGUUUGUAUUACUUGAUGGGAGAGACUAUCAAUUCCCAGGAUUCGAAAUCCUUAACCAUAACUGAAAAUAAAUCUGAAUUGUGGCAUUGUAGGAUGGGACAUAUUAGUAAUAAGGGCUUAAAAUAUCUAAAUGAUCAAAAAUUCCUUAGAAAAGAUAAAAUAGAGCCCCUUAACUUUUGUGAGACGUGUGUACUUGGAAAGUCUCAUAGAGUCAGCUUUGAGACGGGGUCACACACUACAAAUAGACCAUUCGACUAUGUCCACUCAGAUUUGUGGGGUCCAGAAAGCCAC